Long non-coding RNA from Apodemus sylvaticus (European woodmouse), 404 nucleotides. RefSeq lists it as uncharacterized. The record is from RefSeq and is a predicted model, not a curated record. The transcript has 2 exons. Lineage: Eukaryota; Metazoa; Chordata; Mammalia; Rodentia; Muridae.
GUGACCCUGUGGGUGCGCUUUGAGAACAGAAAGCCUAGGCCUUUUCCAGCUCACUCUGCUUUGUACCUGCAGUUAAAGAUGUGAGCUGUGUGUUUUCUGUUCCUGUCCCUAUGCUCGCUGCUUGCUGCCUCGCUCCCACCAGGAUGGACUCUUACCCUUCAGGAGCCAAAAGGCAAAAAGAAAACAACUCCUGUGGUCCGAAUCUCAGGCUGUCCUCAAAGAUUUCAUGUAGCCCAGCUUCAUGAGGCUUCAGACUCUUCGUCCUCCUCUUCGUCUUCUCUAACCCUCAGAUUACAGGCAUGCAACACCACAUCCAGGUGGAUUUUUUAUCAAACCUUACUUCUAACAGAAAAGCAAAGGAAAGGAUUCAUGAAAAAGACAUAAAAGCAAACAAGAAAACUCUG